AUUGAACGCUGGCGGCAUGCUUUACACAUGCAAGUCGAACGGCAGCGCGGGCUUCGGCCUGGCGGCGAGUGGCGAACGGGUGAGUAAUGCAUCGGAACGUGCCCAGUAGUGGGGGAUAGCCCGGCGAAAGCCGGAUUAAUACCGCAUACGACCUGAGGGGGAAAGCGGGGGACCGAAAGGCCUCGCGCUAUUGGAGCGGCCGAUGUCGGAUUAGCUAGUUGGUGGGGCAAAGGCUUACCAAGGCGACGAUCCGUAGCUGGUCUGAGAGGACGACCAGCCACACUGGGACUGAGACACGGCCCAGACUCCUACGGGAGGCAGCAGUGGGGAAUUUUGGACAAUGGGGGCAACCCUGAUCCAGCCAUGCCGCGUGAGGGAAGAAGGCCUUCGGGUUGUAAACCGCUUUUGUUCGGGAAGAAAUCCUCUGGGCUAAUACCCCGGGGGGAUGACGGUACCGGAAGAAUAAGCACCGGCUAACUACGUG
This 484-nucleotide ribosomal RNA is filed under the name uncultured bacterium. Its description in RNAcentral is "partial 16S ribosomal RNA". It matches the Rfam family "Bacterial small subunit ribosomal RNA", at positions 29 to 507 of the family's 1533-position model. The record is from RNAcentral.